RNAcentral lists this non-coding RNA (155 nucleotides) under Candidatus Omnitrophota bacterium. RNAcentral describes it as "6S RNA". It matches the Rfam family "6S / SsrS RNA". From Rfam's summary of the family: E. coli 6S RNA was the first non coding RNA to be sequenced, but its function was unknown until recently. It consists of 184 nucleotides that fold into an extended hairpin structure with a large single-stranded internal bulge. The record is from RNAcentral. Lineage: Bacteria; Pseudomonadati; Candidatus Omnitrophota.
GAUUCCCUACCUUGUUCGUGCCCACGAAGAGUAAUUUUUGAGCCAACACCUGAUUGAGGGAGCCUGCGUUUAGGUGCGAUGUGUCGUAUCUAACAGGGCACCCACCUUGGAAAUCGGGUUCAAAAGUUUUCUUCGGACGACAGGGUGGGGAUUUU